Small nucleolar RNA from Lineus longissimus, 65 nucleotides. RefSeq annotates it as small nucleolar RNA U54. NCBI's taxonomy places the organism in Eukaryota, Metazoa, Nemertea, Pilidiophora, Heteronemertea, Lineidae. The record is from RefSeq and is a predicted model, not a curated record. The transcript has a single exon.
UGGUGAUGAGGAUAAAUCUUGUCAUGAUGUGCACUGAUUGCAUUAUACGCUAUUCUGAACCACAG